CAGGAACUGCCACGGCCCGUACGUGGAACUGCACAGCUUCUGGCAGCGUUUACGCAGGUUUCGCGGGAGGCUCAGGCCCGUGCGCUCCACCAGUGCCUCCGUGUGCGCUCAACACGACCAAAUGCUUCGCAGGAGACAACCAGGGCGCGCAGCCAGCACUACCGUCGGGAUACCUGCGCUACUUUGGCUGCCGUACAGUGAAUAACCUCCUGAACUACGUGGUGACCUCCGUUAUUACCUCCGCGGAGGACUCAAACGCUGAGCUCAUUGGGAUCACCUGCUGCUAUGCCGGCCCGUGUUAGGUGCUCGGCUGGCAGAACUUGUUGCUCUGCAACAACAGCAGACUAAGAGGUUUGGUGACCACAGGGCGUUUCCAAACUUAAAGUUCGGACGCACGACAGCGACUAACAACAGUUUCAUCGCUUCAGCAUCUAUGUGCUCGUAAGAGCGUGAGAUCAGUUCAAGUCGUUUAUUGGCUUUAUUAAC
Molecule: long non-coding RNA, 486 nt
Organism: Hyalella azteca
Lineage: Eukaryota; Metazoa; Arthropoda; Malacostraca; Amphipoda; Hyalellidae
Exons: 4
Source: RefSeq, a predicted model, not a curated record